UUUGUAAUUAAUUGAUCAGUUAAUUUUGAUGGAAUAAUUAUGUUAAAAUAUUUUUUAAUAUUCGUAAUAUUGAACUAAUAUUCGUAAAGUUGUAAAAGAUAGACAUAAAAGACCUUCGUAAAUUAGAGUAAAUUAUACUUUUGUAAAGUUUGCCCAAUUUACGAAGUUUACCAAAAAGUUGCGAAGCUGAACGAUAAACUUUUUAGUAAGAAUGGGAUUUUUGUAAACCUCGUAUAUGUCAUACAUAAAUUUACGCUAUUUACAAAGUUGCGAAGGUGACGUGAAAGAAAACCCUCUUCGUUAAAUUUAAGCUAUUUACGAUGUUUACCAAAAAUGUGUCGUGAAAACUAGAGGUGAGCUGGAUAUCCAUUUUUUUGGAUAAUGCAUGGCCCGAUCCGAUCCAACUGGAUUUGGAUGGAUUGGAUCUGAAAUUUUUUGGGUGAAAUGGAUUUGGAUGGAUUGGAUCUGAAAUUUUUUGGGCCAAUUGGAUUUGGAUGGAUUGGAUCUGAAAAUUUUUGGGCCAAUUGGAUUUGGAUGGAUUGGAUCAGGGUGGAUUGGAUAUGGUCGGUUUGGAUAAAAUUUCCUCAACACACAGCUUAUGCCGGAGUACAUUUUUCAUGAAUCCAAUGCUGCCCCGAAAACUAACCGGCCCAUUUCUUUAUUGGCAUAGCAUGCCACACAAGAGCCACAUAUCCAGUCCCAAUAAAAUUUACUCUAACAUAACACGGUUUAACUUGAAGACUGAGUCUUAUUUUAAAUUAAUAGAGGUUAUUAAUCUGAAUGUAUGAGAAGUUAAGGUGAGUAAUUACACUACUCAUUAAUUUUUUAUUGAAUAGUCAGAAAUAAUUAACCACUUUUCAAAUACAGGAAAUGACUUCUUUUGGUGGAUCACCAGCUCUCGACGUCGAGACGGUCCACGUGGAGGCAGAAGCAAUUUCUCAAGAGACGAUUCAAAUUCAAGGCGAAACCAGUCAGAAUUCCAUUAUAAACUUUUCCAGAGACGUCAUCCUUGGGUUAUGGGCACAACAUAGCACUCGGUUAUCAUUUGUGGACAAGUCUGUCAGCAGAUUGAAAUCAUUAGACUACUGGAAAAAUUUUCAAGUAGUUCAAAUGGAUCAAGUCGCAGUUGACUACGUUAAGUGCAAAUUGUGCAAUGCAAUUUAUACCUGGAAUAAGAAAUCGGGAACCAGUAAUCUUAAAAAUCAUUCAUGUCUUCACAGCGACGUCGCUGGAACCAAGAAGAACAGCACUCAAGAUCCAAACCAGAAAAAAAUUACAUCAUUUUCGAAGAAAUCUUUGCCCAUCAAAUGCAUUGACGAAUUAAAUGAAUGCAUCGUAGUUGGACUUGCUCAAGAUUUGAAGCCACUACGAAUGGUGGAAGCGAGAGGAUUUAGGAGAAUCACACAAGCUUUGGUCAAUUUUGGAGCCACUCAUGGACGUCAAGAUAUAUCUAAUAUUCUUCAGCAUCGUACGACCUUAAAACGAAAACAUUUACCAAAAAUUGUGGCUGAAAAAGAGGACUCAGUGAGAUGUGCUUUGAAGACGACGUCGUCUUAUCCCAAGUUCUCCUUCACAUUGGACAUGUGGUCCGACAAGCAUCAACAAAGGCAAUUUCUUUCACUCUCAAUUCACUUUAUCGACAAUGAAUGGAAUUUGAGGAGUCACAUGAUGGCAGUCGAAGAGUUCAAAGAAUCUUUUAAAUCCACCCAGAAUAUUCGCUCCCACGUUCAUAGAAUCCUAUCAAAAUACUUUGGUCACGAACAAGGUGAAGAGAUUAUGUCAGCGUCAUUCGCAGUGACGGAUGGGGGAAGCAAUAUGAUCAACAUAUUUGAUCAUAGGUUGCCUUGUAUGUGUCACCGCCUUAAUUUAAUAGUUCAGUGGACACUUAAUCAAAAACAAAUUCCAUCUGUCGAAAAAAUACAGGAACGAAUCGAGAAGGGAAAUCCAAUUAGUGAAAAGAAACUAUUCAAUUUACAAACUCACUGCCCCAAAACCAAGGACGUCCUUGGCGAUUUGAAAAAACUCGUAGAAUAUUUUAAAAAGGCAGGACUCAACAUCAAUCCUCCCAUUAGUUUGAAGCAGGAUGUUGAUACUCGUUGGAACAGCCAGCUCAUGAUGUUAGAGUCAUACGCCCGCUCGUCUGAGGAAGUGAAGAAGAUUCUCUUAGAAAAGAAAAAGCUGGACAAGGUCAACAAUAUUCAUGACGACGUCGUCAGCUAAUUAAUUAAAUUUCUGAAGCCACUAAGCGAGUGUUCAGAUGUAUUUAGUGGCGACAAAAACCCGACGUUCCAAUGUAUUGUCCUUUGGUUCCAUAAGAUACAAGAACAUCUUAAAAUAACAGACAAGGAUUCUAAAGAGAUAAAAAGUUUGAAAGCUCAAUCUCAGAAUUGCUUAGCAGAAUACUGGACCCCAAAACCAAUUUACUAUGCCGCAUGCAUGUUAGAUCCUAGAUAUAGAAAACUCAAGUUUGCCGACGAGGAUGCGAAACAACAAGCACGUGACUGUCUUAGGAACUAUAUGGCAGUUGAACGUUCAACUUGUUCUUCCCCUGACCUUCAUCAGUCGACGUCGACUGAGGCCCUGUCCAUACAACCCUCCGCCCCAAAACGUGGACGAUUUUCGGAGCUGGAGGACUCAGAUGAAGAAGUUGAGGAACUUGACGAAUUGGAUAGCUAUUUGAUCUAUGUUUUCAAAAAUCCUCUGCCGUUAAAUGCGGACGGAACAUUCGAUAUUUUACAAUUUUGGCGCGAAACCACUGAAUUUCCAAUGUUACGAAAAGUGGCGAAAUGGCUUCUGGCAAUUCCAGCAUCGCAAGCCAGUGAUGAGCGGGUGUUUUCGAGCACUGGGUCGACGUUAUCUGUGAGGCGAACCGAACUGAGUGGAACAACUCUUUCCCAAUUGACAUUUAUUCAUAAGAAUUGUUAAAUUGUUAAACAAGUAGAUCUAUUAGAAAUAAUUAAUAAUGGUGACAAUAUAAGAAUUAUUUGCUUAAAUGUGUAAAACCAAGGCUAAAUAAAAAUUGGUUGAAAGUUUUAUACAAUUGCAAAUCUUCAUUGGACGUCCAAUGCUUAAAGAAAAAUUUUUACAGCGUCGUCUAAAGAUCCUCGGCAUUGUGGACAAUUAUUCAGAACACGAAUUGGGAAUCCAGGGUGAACUUGUCCAGUGUCCUCAUCGGUCCAUGGAAUUCCUUCGGCGAAACGCUCUUGUCGAAGUCCAUUCAUACAAGCUCCGCAAAAGCAGUGCCCACAUCUUAGUGCCCAAGCUUUAGGCUCAUUCUCACACAAUGAACACGCAAUCUGUUGAAUUAAUUACCAAAUUUUAAUUAUGCGCUACUAACUGACUUAGAAAAAUAUAGCAAUAAUAAUACUAUUUAUUUAUCUUUCUCCAGUUUUCAUCAGCCCCGUUUAUCUUUUUCAUGGAAUUUUUCCAUUUUUCAUCCAGUAUAUUCGAUUCCGUCUUAAUAACUUGCAGAUCUUCUUCGAUGUAAAGGUAUUCAAAUUUUUGUAUCCAAUCAAAUAGUUCAGUUUUCUUAUUAUUCAUCAGCUUUUUCUCAGCCUCAAACACCAAUGGACGUCCAUUGCUUUGAGGAAUACAUUGAUCUAUCCACGAUGAAAUGCAGCCAAUAGAAUCUAUUAUCUUUGAUAGCAUAGUCUGUGCAAUUUUCAGGUUGUUGAUAGAAACGUAGCUGUCAUUGUUCAAUUUUUUACUCAAUUCAUUGAUAUCUUCCCACCGGUGAAAGGAAAUAAUAACUUCGUCAUCGUCAGGCCAAAUUACUCUGGACUAAAAUUCAAAGUUAACUUGAAUUCAAACUUUAUUAGGCACACAUUCAUAUUAUAAUUGUGUUACCUUUUUAAUAAUCCAUCCGAUUUGUCGACACUUUUUAGAUAUAAUAGCUAAGUCAUCCCUCAUCUGCUUCAAGUUUAGGUGACAAAUUCGCGCACUAUCGACGUCGGUAGUUAAACUAAUAUUUUUAAUGCGUUUUAAGCUAUCGUGUAUAUUUUCCAAGCAAUCCAUUAAUCUUGAGGUUUCUUCUUGUACAAGAGAUAACUAUAUUAUUGGAAUUGUAAGUGGUUUCAUUAGGUCGGCAAUUAAUAUUGAUACUUAUCCUUAGUUAGAAAAUACCUUUGGGAGUGGAGCUGUUCGAGCUGCGUUUAUAGCAGCCAUUUUUAUAUUCUGUGGUGUCGAAUUUCGAUUACUGGCACCACUAGCCCACCUACUCUUCUGUAUUUCUUUCUUUGCUUUAUUUUUACUGUCGACGUCGACAUGGGCGUUGCACUUUCUAGCGUGGUGGGUCGGAUCCCCGCAAACCCAGCACGAAUCAUCCAUGCUAUAAAACUAUGAAGAAAGAAACUUAUUAAAAUCAAUCGGUUCAACUGAUAAAGCUAAUUAUGCAAAAGAACCUCACCGUAUCACUCAAUAAUUUCCUCUACGAUUUUUAAUAGUUCUAUUUUUAAUUAAGUGCACUUAAAUUGUCAGUGUCACACACACACUACUUAAUAAGUAAAAAAACAGCUGCCUGCGACUACUGUAAGAUUGCGCACAAUAGGGGUGAUUUGAGAUACAUAAGUUAAUGUAUUUCACCUGCGUAUUUCUUAAUGAGUUUAAGUUGAUCGGAUCAGAAAUUUUUAUGAAUGAAUGAGUCGCAUUUGGAUGGAUUGGAUCUGAAUUUUUUUGGGCCAAUUGGAUUUGGAUGGAUUGGAUCUGAAAUUUUUUGGGCCAAUUGGAUUUGGAUGGAUUGGAUCUGAAAUUUUUUGGGCUAGUUGGAUUUGGGUGGAUCGGAUCGAAAAAAAUUUGGGCCAACUGGAUUUGGAUGGAUUGGAUCUCAAAUUUUUUGGGCCAAUAGGAUUUGGAUGGAUUGGAUCUGAAAAUUUUGGGGCGAAACGGAUUUGGAUGGAUUGGAUCUUAAUUUUUCUGGUUGAAUCGGAUUUGGAUGGAUCGGAUCUCAAAAAAUCACGAUCCAGCUCACCUCUAGUGAAAACCCUUAAUGAAAAUUUUUAAUUUUAAUUUUCAUGAAAAUGUGUCAAUUUUUUGUCCCAGGUUUUUGGACUUUACCUGCUCUCGACGUGUUUUUGGAUUUUGAUCGCAUUUUCUGAACAUGACGCCGCGUCGUCCUCCGAGGAAACGAACCCCACAGCGGCGAAUUUCCGGUUGCUCGCAAUUUUAGUGAAUCAAAAACAAGGCGGGGAUCCCACUGAAAGGGGAGGAUUACUCGAAAACGAUGAAAUUUCCGGAAAUUUUAGCAACUCUGAGACGGACAAAGAGUUGGAAAUGUUGCAGAAAAAGUUUGUCCAUGCGUGGAACUCGGUUUCGCCCUAUUUUCAAGGCGCCUGCGGUCUCGCGGUGGUUUCCGGUUUGGUCCAAGUCGUAGCGUGCAUGGCGAUUCUAAGUUCGUCGACGAAGGGUGCAGGUAAACCGUUUCGUCUCCGAUUGUGGAAAGUGUUGCAUUUCUGCUUGAUAAUUACGUUCCUGAUUUGCAUCGCGAUUCCCGUGUCGAUUGACAAGUCGCUUAAAGACGGCGGCAUCGCGGACCAUUUGGACGCCCUCGCGGCGCAGUUGAAGCGCCACAAUGCGCCCAGUUUGGAUACGGAAGAUGUCGACAAUAUAAAAUUGCUGUACAUCGCGCUGGCCGGAGAUGCCGUCGGGUGCACAUUUUUAGUCGUGAUUGGGCACUUUGUUCUUUCGUAUGUGGGAAGAGCGACCAGAUAAGAACGUUGCCAGAGAUCGGAUAUGUAUUUAUUUCUAGGUUUUUACUCAGAAAUAUAAAUAUUUAUUCGUAUUUCUGCCAUUAUUUCUAAAAAAAAGGGUUUAAAAUUGUAUGAUUAAAAAGUCAGAAAUAAAAUUUGUGCUAACUAAAAACCUAAUUACUAAAUUCCAGAUCAAUAAUUCACAAGAAUUUUGAAUAUCUCGCAAAUUUUAAAUUUUAUAGUUUUUCAAUAUGCAACAUAGCCGCCUGUAAAUUUGAUUAGGCAGAUUAAAAAAAAAUAAUGAAUUACUUAUUUAUUUGCUUGUAACAUUUACGAAAAAAUUACCAAGUUUGACAGAAAUAUUUCAAUUCCUGUGACGAUUGACAAGUCGCUGACGGACGGUGGCAUCGCGGACCAUUUGGACGCCCUCGCGGCGCAGUUGAAGCGCAAAAACGCGCCCAGUUUGGACACGGAGGAUGUCGACAAUAUAAAAUUGCUGAACAUCGCGCUGGCCGGAGAUGCCGUCGGGUGCACAUUUUUAGUCGUGAUUGGUCACUUUGUUCUUUCGUAUGUGGGAAAAAUCCGCAGAUAAGAACGCUGCCAGAGAUCGGAUAUUUAUUUAUUUCUAGAUUUUCCCGGAAAAGACAUAUUAAGUAUGAAUAAAAAGUCAAAAAUAAAAUUUUAAGUAAUAACAAGAAUUACUAAUCUCGAAUUGGAUUUCGUAACAUUUUUAGAAUUUAAAUUCUACAAGCUAAAAAUCUGGAUGGAGUUGCAGAAUUAAAAUUUUUGAAAAUUUUGCGGAAUUCAAAUCUUAUUUAUGAAAUUCAAACAUACCAAACGAAACAAAUCAAGAUAUCACACACAUCAAAGGCGUAUCUUGAAUUUAAUGAUCGCUUUAAUUGUGUUAAAGAAAUCUGAUUUCCGGGUUUUUAACAAAGUUACCCAUAUUUUUUUAAUCUACAAUUUCUGUCAAUUUUAAGGAAUUCAAAUUCUCCAAAUUUGAUACAUAUUUGUACCAAAUUUUGUAGAAAUUAAUCAAUUAGUUCUAGAGUUAUCGAAAGACAGACGGAAAUGACAAUUACAUAAGUCCUGGUGAGGGCUAGAAAUGGGUGUGUUGUACGAUCAAAACGUCAGAAAUAAAGUUUCGUUAAAAGAACUAAUUAAAAUUUUUAAUUCAAGAUACU
This is an RNA transcript of Folsomia candida, 6868 nucleotides long. RefSeq lists it as uncharacterized. The transcript is spliced from 4 exons. NCBI's taxonomy places the organism in Eukaryota, Metazoa, Arthropoda, Collembola, Entomobryomorpha, Isotomidae. The record is from RefSeq and is a predicted model, not a curated record.